RNAcentral lists this ribosomal RNA (1522 nucleotides) under metagenome. RNAcentral describes it as "bacterial SSU rRNA". It matches the Rfam family "Bacterial small subunit ribosomal RNA". The record is from RNAcentral.
AGAGUUUGAUCAUGGCUCAGAUUGAACGCUGGCGGCAGGCCUAACACAUGCAAGUCGAACGGUAACAGGAAGCAGCUUGCUGCUUCGCUGACGAGUGGCGGACGGGUGAGUAAUGUCUGGGAAGCUGCCUGAUGGAGGGGGAUAACUACUGGAAACGGUAGCUAAUACCGCAUAAUGUCGCAAGACCAAAGAGGGGGACCUUCGGGCCUCUUGCCAUCGGAUGUGCCCAGAUGGGAUUAGCUUGUUGGUGGGGUAACGGCUCACCAAGGCGACGAUCCCUAGCUGGUCUGAGAGGAUGACCAGCCACACUGGAACUGAGACACGGUCCAGACUCCUACGGGAGGCAGCAGUGGGGAAUAUUGCACAAUGGGCGCAAGCCUGAUGCAGCCAUGCCGCGUGUAUGAAGAAGGCCUUCGGGUUGUAAAGUACUUUCAGCGGGGAGGAAGGGAGUAAAGUUAAUACCUUUGCUCAUUGACGUUACCCGCAGAAGAAGCACCGGCUAACUCCGUGCCAGCAGCCGCGGUAAUACGGAGGGUGCAAGCGUUAAUCGGAAUUACUGGGCGAAAAGCGCACGCAGGCGGUUUGUUAAGUCAGAUGUGAAAUCCCCGGGCUCAACCUGGGAACUGCAUCUGAUACUGGCAAGCUUGAGUCUCGUAGAGGGGGGUAGAAUUCCAGGUGUAGCGGUGAAAUGCGUAGAGAUCUGGAGGAAUACCGGUGGCGAAGGCGGCCCCCUGGACGAAGACUGACGCUCAGGUGCGAAAGCGUGGGGAGCAAACAGGAUUAGAUACCCUGGUAGUCCACGCCGUAAACGAUGUCGACUUGGAGGUUGUGCCCUUGAGGCGUGGCUUCCGGAGCUAACGCGUUAAGUCGACCGCCUGGGGAGUACGGCCGCAAGGUUAAAACUCAAAUGAAUUGACGGGGGCCCGCACAAGCGGUGGAGCAUGUGGUUUAAUUCGAUGCAACGCGAAGAACCUUACCUGGUCUUGACAUCCACGGAAGUUUUCAGAGAUGAGAAUGUGCCUUCGGGAACCGUGAGACAGGUGCUGCAUGGCUGUCGUCAGCUCGUGUUGUGAAAUGUUGGGUUAAGUCCCGCAACGAGCGCAACCCUUAUCCUUUGUUGCCAGCGGUCCGGCCGGGAACUCAAAGGAGACUGCCAGUGAUAAACUGGAGGAAGGUGGGGAUGACGUCAAGUCAUCAUGGCCCUUACGACCAGGGCUACACACGUGCUACAAUGGCGCAUACAAAGAGAAGCGACCUCGCGAGAGCAAGCGGACCUCAUAAAGUGCGUCGUAGUCCGGAUUGGAGUCUGCAACUCGACUCCAUGAAGUCGGAAUCGCUAGUAAUCGUGGAUCAGAAUGCCACGGUGAAUACGUUCCCGGGCCUUGUACACACCGCCCGUCACACCAUGGGAGUGGGUUGCAAAAGAAGUAGGUAGCUUAACCUUCGGGAGGGCGCUUACCACUUUGUGAUUCAUGACUGGGGUGAAGUCGUAACAAGGUAACCGUAGGGGAACCUGCGGUUG